RNAcentral lists this ribosomal RNA (492 nucleotides) under uncultured bacterium. Its description in RNAcentral is "partial 16S ribosomal RNA". It matches the Rfam family "Bacterial small subunit ribosomal RNA", at positions 29 to 507 of the family's 1533-position model. The record is from RNAcentral.
AGUGAACGCUGGCGGUAGGCCUAACACAUGCAAGUCGAACGGCAGCACAGUAAGAGCUUGCUCUUACGGGUGGCGAGUGGCGGACGGGUGAGGAAUACAUCGGAAUCUACUUUUUCGUGGGGGAUAACGUAGGGAAACUUACGCUAAUACCGCAUACGACCUACGGGUGAAAGCAGGGGAUCUUCGGACCUUGCGCGAUUGAAUGAGCCGAUGUCGGAUUAGCUAGUUGGCGGGGUAAAGGCCCACCAAGGCGACGAUCCGUAGCUGGUCUGAGAGGAUGAUCAGCCACACUGGAACUGAGACACGGUCCAGACUCCUAAGGGAGGCCGCAGUGGGGAAUAUUGGGCAAUGGGCGCAAGCCUGAUCCAGCCAUACCGCGUGGGUGAAGAAGGCCUUCGGGUUGUAAAGCCCUUUUGUUGGGAAAGAAAAGCAGCAGGUUAAUACCCCGCUGUUCUGACGGUACCCAAAGAAUAAGCACCGGCUAACUUCGUG